RNAcentral lists this transfer RNA (66 nucleotides) under Pagastia tianmumontana. RNAcentral describes it as "tRNA-Cys". Lineage: Eukaryota; Metazoa; Arthropoda; Insecta; Diptera; Chironomidae. The record is from RNAcentral.
GGCUUUAUAGUCAAUAAUGAUAUUAGACUGCAAUUCUAAAGGAGUAAAUAAAAAUUACUAAGGCUU